AACGAACGCUGGCGGCAGGCCUAACACAUGCAAGUCGAGCGCCCCGCAAGGGGAGCGGCGCACGGGUGAGUAACGCGUGGGAAUAUGCCCUGGGGCUGGGGAUAACGGUGGGAAACUGCCGCUAAUACCCGGUACGCCUUGAGAGGGAAAGGAGCAAUCCGCCCUGGGAGUAGCCCGCGUUGGAUUAGCUAGUUGGUGAGGUAAGAGCUCACCAAGGCGACGAUCCAUAGCUGGUCUGAGAGGAUGAUCAGCCACACUGGGACUGAGACACGGCCCAGACUCCUACGGGAGGCAGCAGUGGGGAAUAUUGGACAAUGGGGGCAACCCUGAUCCAGCCAUGCCGCGUGAGUGAAGAAGGCCUUAGGGUUGUAAAGCUCUUUCGGCGGGGACGAUGAUGACGGUACCCGCAGAAGAAGCCCCGGCUAACUUCGUGCCAGCAGCCGCGGUAAU
This 450-nucleotide ribosomal RNA is filed under the name uncultured bacterium. RNAcentral's name for it is "bacterial SSU rRNA". It matches the Rfam family "Bacterial small subunit ribosomal RNA", at positions 29 to 524 of the family's 1533-position model. The record is from RNAcentral.